GCCUCCUCUGCCCACACCCUUUCCUAGAAUUCCUUUAUAUAUCUCUGCACUACUUACCACACUAUCACACAAUACACACAAUGGAAGCCAAUGGUAUGAUAAUCGGAACCCAAGAACAUACAAAUUCCCAGAAAUGUAAUUUCAAUGGAAGCCAAUGGUAUGAUAAUCGGAACCCAAGAACAUACAAAUUCCCAGAAAUGUAAUUUAGGUGCAAAUUCCGUACCUUCCUACCUUCCGAGGAAUUAAUAACACGAGACACAAGUAUUUACUGUAUACCACACAUGAUGACCACUAUACUAUAACACAUAUGCUGCAGGCUAUAAAAGCAAUGCAUCAACAGUUAGAUCCAUGAGCUACAGGAGGUUCGAGUAGCAGUUUUGGAAUCAUGAAAUUGACGGUCUUCUUCAUCUGGGUAUUGUCGUUAUGGACAGUAAUCCUUUCAGCUGCACCGUUCAACUCAGACGACCCUGGAGAUGUGCCCCCACUUCCUGGAGAAGGACCACCUAAUGGCAGGGGCCGUACAGUCUCUAGAAGAGAAUUACCACUCCCUGGAGAAAAACCCCCUCUUGGUGAAGGGCCACCUAUGGGUGAACGACCACCUAUGGGUGAACGACCACCUAUGGGUGAACGACCACCUAUGGGUGAACGACCACCUAUGGGUGAACGACUCCCCCCAGGCCGAAAGUGAGAGGCUAUUAUUUUGUCAAGAGACAUGAAAGAAUGAACAGAAUUGCCAUACUGAUAGAUAGACAACAGUUAGACACAAAGCUUUGGAUGAAAUUGUUUGCUUGUGAGUUUAAUUAAUUAUAUAUAAAACAAGUGCACGCAUGACAUGCGUAUACUGUC
Long non-coding RNA from Halichondria panicea, 846 nucleotides. RefSeq lists it as uncharacterized. The transcript has 2 exons. The record is from RefSeq and is a predicted model, not a curated record. NCBI's taxonomy places the organism in Eukaryota, Metazoa, Porifera, Demospongiae, Suberitida, Halichondriidae.